Molecule: ribosomal RNA, 395 nt
Filed under: uncultured archaeon
Lineage: Archaea
Description: bacterial SSU rRNA
Rfam family: Archaeal small subunit ribosomal RNA
Source: RNAcentral
CCUUUACACUGCACGACAGUGCGAUAGGGGGACUCCGAGUGCGAGGGCAUAUAGUCCUCGCUUUUCUGUACCGUAAGGUGGUACAGGAACAAGGGCUGGGCAAGACCGGUGCCAGCCGCCGCGGUAAUACCGGCAGCACGAGUGAUGGCCGAUAUUAUUGGGCCUAAAGCGUCCGUAGCUGGCCGUGCAAGUCCAUUGGGAAAUCCACCCGCUCAACGGGUGGGCGUCCGGUGGAAACUGCGCGGCUUGGGGCCGGAAGACUCGACGGGUACGUCCGGGGUAGGAGUGAAAUCCUGUAAUCCUGGACGGACCACCAAUGGGGAAAGCACGUCGAGAGAACGGAUCCGACAGUGAGGGACGAAAGCCAGGGUCUCGAACCGGAUUAGAUACCCGGG